GUUGGGAGCUCUCCCAUAUGGUCGACCUGCAGGCGGCCGCGAAUUCACUAGUGAUUAGAGUUUGAUCAUGGCUCAGGACGAACGCUGGCGGCGCGCUUAACACAUGCAAGUCGAGCGAGAACCAGGCCUUCGGGCCUGGGGAAAGCGGCGAACGGGUGAGUAACACGUGAGUAAUCCACCCUCGGCACCGGGAUAGCCCGGGGAAACUCGGAUUAAUACCGGAUGGCCCAGCAGUCUCUCGGGACGGCUGGAAAAGGUAGCUUCGGCCUCCGGCCUGGGACGAGCCCGCGGCGGAUUAGCUUGUUGGUGGGGUAACGGCCUACCAAGGCGACGAUCCGUAGCUGGUCUGAGAGGACGAUCAGCCACACUGGGACUGAGACACGGCCCAGACUCCUACGGGAGGCAGCAGUGGGGAAUCUUGCACAAUGGGCGAAAGCCUGAUGCAGCGACGCCGCGUGAGGGAAGAAGGCUUUCGGGUUGUAAACCUCUUUCAGGAGGGACGAAGCCACUCGGGUUAAUAGCCCAGAGGGUGACGGUACCUCCAGAAGAAGCCCCGGCUAACUACGUGCCAGCAGGCGCGGUAAUAAAUCGAAUUCCCGCGGCCGUCAUGGCGGCCGGGAGCAUGCGAC
This 629-nucleotide ribosomal RNA is filed under the name uncultured Actinomycetes bacterium. RNAcentral describes it as "bacterial SSU rRNA". It matches the Rfam family "Bacterial small subunit ribosomal RNA", at positions 1 to 559 of the family's 1533-position model. The record is from RNAcentral. Lineage: Bacteria; Bacillati; Actinomycetota; Actinomycetes.